RNAcentral lists this unclassified non-coding RNA (249 nucleotides) under Hevea brasiliensis (rubber tree). The record is from RNAcentral. Lineage: Eukaryota; Viridiplantae; Streptophyta; Magnoliopsida; Malpighiales; Euphorbiaceae.
UAAUCUAUUUCUCUCAGCUUGUUCAUUCUGAGCAAGAAGAUCACGCAUAUUCUUCUCAGCAAGAGCUUUUGCCGCACGUUCUGCUGUCCUUUGAUUCCUUUCUAAUGUGGCUUUACAUCUUUCAACUGAUUCACCAUUACCACCGCUAUAUCUCCCAUCAUGAAUUGAAGGGCUUGGAUAUUUGGAACUGUUGGAAGGACCUGAACCUUUAUAUUGUUGAUCACAGGAUUUUAUUCCAGCAUCUCUUGA